RNAcentral lists this long non-coding RNA (466 nucleotides) under Mytilus galloprovincialis (Mediterranean mussel). The record is from RNAcentral. Lineage: Eukaryota; Metazoa; Mollusca; Bivalvia; Mytilida; Mytilidae.
GUUGUUUUUGCAGAUUGUUUGCUUUAACUGGUUACAUGCUUUGUAUGCAGGUAUGAAAAAUAAUGAUAAAUGAGGGCCCUCAUGGGGUUUUUGAUUAUGUGAUUACUUGGCCGUUUUUUUAAUGAUUAUUUGAUUAUUAAGCCAAAUAUUUCAUGAUUAUUUGAUUACCUAGGACUGUAUUUUUAGUUUAUGAUUAUUUGAUUACUAAAGAUAAGCAAAUAUUUAAUGAUUAUGUGAUUAUAUUGGCAAAAAAAUGGUGAUUAUGUGAUUACUAGGACCCCCCCAUGAGGGGCCUCAUAAAUGAUCCUUUCUGUGAUAACCUGGUACCAUUUAGAAAGAAAAAGCAUAUUAAGUGUUAAUGUUUAUAUUGUAGGCCAGGAUUCAGACGUGUUUUCAAUAUUAUUUUUGAAAUAUAGAGGAUAUACUUUCCAAUGACACCAUUUUUAACCAUAAAUUUAUCUAAAUA